GAAUUAUUAAAAUAACAUGUGCAAUACCUUGCAUGUGAAUUGGAAGAGUAGCAAAACCAAUCUACAAAUCAAAAGCAAAACAAGGAAUGAUGAGGAAAAAAAUCAAUAAGCGUACUUAAUCAAAUGAGAAUAAAGGAAGGAAUAAUCUGCACGAGCAGAGAGCCCAAAGAGUAUAAAUGAGAAUGAGAGUGAUAUUUCAGCUAAUUUGGAAGAGAAUAGAGAAUGACUUUUGGAUUACUUUCGGUAAUUAGAGAAAAUAAGAAACGAGAUUUUAGAUUCAUUUGAAUGAAAAUUGAUAUAUUUAGGUUGAGAGACCUUUGAUAUAGUCAAUCAAGAGCGGACUAAUUAAUGAGAAUCAGUGAGUAAUUAAUUUUAAGUGGAAACUAAACAAUGAAAUUAUGGGUUGUACCAGAAAUUAAAACUAUAUUUCUUCUAUAUUAUUUUUUAUGAGUAUUAUAAGAAAAUAUAAGUCUUAUAAUUGUUAAUAUAUAUAUUUUGAGGCCUAAAGUAUGGGCUUUAGUUGUUUUACCCUCAGGUUGGUCAUGAAUAUUGAAUAUAUAUAUAUAUAUAAUUAGUUUGGUUGUGCAUGAAGGACUCAAUGUAUAUCUAAUGAAUAUAGUUAUAACAUAUUUGUCUGACUCUCUUGAUAAACACAUUUGUAAAAGAUCACUCUUUGAAGAAUUCAAUUUGUGUAGCCAUACAAAUUUUAGAAAAGAUUACUUAAUCAAAUUGAAUAAAUUUCUCUAUGAAUUAAAAUAAUCCAAACACUUGGUAUAAUCAUCUUAUCUUAUUGAGUAUUUGCUAAUAUAUAUAUAUAUAUAUAUAUAUAAUUGAUUCUACUGGUCCUUGUAUUUUUAUGAAAAAGUCUUAAAAAAAAUUUCAUAAUUAUUAUUUAUGUAGAUGACAUAAAUACAAUUGAAACUCUUUAAGGGCUUCCAAAAGUUAUAUAUAACUUAAAGAAGGGAUUUCAGACAAAGGAUUUAGCUAGGAAGAAAAAAGUUGUGAUUGGAAUAAUUAUAAAUUGAAUAUUUAAGUAAUCAAGUUCUUAUGCAUCAAGAUACUUAUAAAAUAAAGGUGCUUGAGAGUUCAAAAUAUGAACAAAUCACAUUUUUGGUGCAUUCUAAUGUUUUUUUUAUGAGUAAAAUAAUAUUAUUAUAAAAUGGUACCAGAAUUACUAUAAGUAUGAUACAGAGAUAAAAACUCCCAACGUAUAUAAAGAUUAGUCCAUAUUUAUGAUACUAUAGUUGCAUAAAUAGAAUAUAACCUCUCUAUAUGCAAGCCCAACAUACAGACUUAGGAAGUAGAAUCCCGCACCACACUGACCAAAGUAGCGCCCAUGCUUCCAUCCGCCAAUGCCCCUGGAUCGGCCAAACCAAAGAUCGAUAGAGCCGAAAAAAUAUUGGGAAACAUGUUUCCUAAAUGAGAUACUGGCUCUCUUUGCCACAGUGCAAAAAAUAAUAAAUUACCAGCUGAAACAAAUAUCCUGAUUCAGACCCUCCAUGUUAACAUCGGAUCCUUGAAAUACACGGU
This 1530-nucleotide long non-coding RNA is filed under the name Glycine max (soybean). Its description in RNAcentral is "long non-coding RNA (GMAX_LNC004178)". Lineage: Eukaryota; Viridiplantae; Streptophyta; Magnoliopsida; Fabales; Fabaceae. The record is from RNAcentral.